UGGGGAAUAUUGCACAAUGGGGGAAACCCUGAUGCAGCGACGCCGCGUGAGUGAAGAAGUAUUUCGGUAUGUAAAGCUCUAUCAGCAGGGAAGAAAAUGACGGUACCUGACUAAGAAGCCCCGGCUAACUACGUGCCAGCAGCCGCGGUAAUACGUAGGGGGCAAGCGUUAUCCGGAUUUACUGGGUGUAAAGGGAGCGUAGACGGUGCAGCAAGUCUGGAGUGAAAACCCAGGGCUCAACCCUGGGAUUGCUUUGGAAACUGUUGAACUGGAGUGCAGGAGAGGUAAGCGGAAUUCCUAGUGUAGCGGUGAAAUGCGUAGAUAUUAGGAGGAACACCAGUGGCGAAGGCGGCUUACUGGACUGUAACUGACGUUGAGGCUCGAAAGCGUGGGGAGCAAACAGGAUUAGAUACCCUGGUAGU
Molecule: ribosomal RNA, 422 nt
Filed under: uncultured Lachnospiraceae bacterium
Lineage: Bacteria; Bacillati; Bacillota; Clostridia; Lachnospirales; Lachnospiraceae
Description: bacterial SSU rRNA
Rfam family: Bacterial small subunit ribosomal RNA
Source: RNAcentral